ACACGUGGGUAACCUGCCUGUAAGACUGGGAUAACUCCGGGAAACCGGAGCUAAUACCGGAUAGUUCCUUGAACCGCAUGGUUCAAGGAUGAAAGACGGUUUCGGCUGUCACUUACAGAUGGACCCGCGGCGCAUUAGCUAGUUGGUGGGGUAAUGGCUCACCAAGGCGACGAUGCGUAGCCGACCUGAGAGGGUGAUCGGCCACACUGGGACUGAGACACGGCCCAGACUCCUACGGGAGGCAGCAGUAGGGAAUCUUCCGCAAUGGACGAAAGUCUGACGGAGCAACGCCGCGUGAGUGAUGAAGGUUUUCGGAUCGUAAAGCUCUGUUGUUAGGGAAGAACAAGUGCGAGAGUAACUGCUCGCACCUUGACGGUACCUAACCAGAAAGCCACGGCUAACUACGUGCCAGCAGCCGCGGUAAUACGUAGGUGGCAAGCGUUGUCCGGAAUUAUUGGGCGUAAAGGGCUCGCAGGCGGUUUCUUAAGUCUGAUGUGAAAGCCCCCGGCUCAACCGGGGAGGGUCAUUGGAAACUGGGAAACUUGAGUGCAGAAGAGGAGAGUGGAAUUCCACGUGUAGCGGUGAAAUGCGUAGAGAUGUGGAGGAACACCAGUGGCGAAGGCGACUCUCUGGUCUGUAACUGACGCUGAGGAGCGAAAGCGUGGGGAGCGAACAGGAUUAGAUACCCUGGUAGUCCACGCCGUAAACGAUGAGUGCUAAGUGUUAGGGGGUUUCCGCCCCUUAGUGCUGCAGCUAACGCAUUAAGCACUCCGCCUGGGGAGUACGGUCGCAAGACUGAAACUCAAAGGAAUUGACGGGGGCCCGCACAAGCGGUGGAGCAUGUGGUUUAAUUCGAAGCAACGCGAAGACCCUUACCAGGUCUUGACAUCCUCUGACAACCCUAGAGAUAGGGCUUUCCCUUCGGGGACAGAGUGACAGGUGGUGCAUGGUUGUCGUCAGCUCGUGUCGUGAGAUGUUGGGUUAAGUCCCGCAACGAGCGCAACCCUUGAUCUUAGUUGCCAGCAUUUAGUUGGGCACUUUAAGGUGACUGCCGGUGACAAACCGGAGGAAGGUGGGGAUGACGUCAAAUCAUCAUGCCCCUUAUGACCUGGGCUACACACGUGCUACAAUGGACAGAACAAAGGGCUGCAAGACCGCAAGGUUUAGCCAAUCCCAUAAAUCUGUUCUCAGUUCGGAUCGCAGUCUGCAACUCGACUGCGUGAAGCUGGAAUCGCUAGUAAUCGCGGAUCAGC
This 1253-nucleotide ribosomal RNA is filed under the name Bacillus safensis FO-36b. Its description in RNAcentral is "bacterial SSU rRNA". It matches the Rfam family "Bacterial small subunit ribosomal RNA", at positions 113 to 1353 of the family's 1533-position model. Lineage: Bacteria; Bacillati; Bacillota; Bacilli; Caryophanales; Bacillaceae. The record is from RNAcentral.